AAAUAAUAAGAGAAAAUGAGAUUGUUGGAAUGGUCUGGUGUGAUAAGCGACCACAACACUCAGUCAGCUGAGGGGAGUCUCUCUCUCUCUCGCUCUCGCGCGCUCAAGCCUCCACACCAAGAUCAUGGCAUCAGGAUACUCCCUUGUGAAUGGCGAGCAGAGGGGGGUAAGGGGGCAGCGAUCGUAUGGAACCACAAAUCCAACUGUGGGAUUUGCUCCUGCAGCAAGUUCAGCAACGGAAUUCUUUCAGGUUUGUCUUUGGAAGAAGUUGCUGAGUGGACUUCGAGCCAGCAUAGAGUGAGUUAGUGGAAGAGACUCCAAGACUGUUGAAGGAGUAGUGUACUCUGUGGGAGAGUAGCCAUACAGUGAAGAGUAGAACCUCGAGCU
This is a non-coding RNA of Procambarus clarkii (red swamp crayfish), 387 nucleotides long. NCBI's taxonomy places the organism in Eukaryota, Metazoa, Arthropoda, Malacostraca, Decapoda, Cambaridae. The record is from RefSeq and is a predicted model, not a curated record.